CAGUCGCCACGGUAAUACGAAGGGUGCAAGCGUUACUCGGAAUUACUGGGCGUAAAGCGUGCGUAGGUGGUGGUUUAAGUCCGUUGUGAAAGCCCUGGGCUCAACCUGGGAAUUGCAGUGGAUACUGGGUCACUAGAGUGUGGUAGAGGAUAGUGGAAUUUCCGGUGUAGCGGUGAAAUGCGUAGAGAUCGGGAGGAACAUCAGUGGCGAAGGCGGCCAUCUGGGACAACACUGACGCUGAGGCACGAAAGCGUGGGGAGCAAACAGGAUUAGAUACCCCGGUAGUCCCUGUCUCUUAUAC
This 301-nucleotide ribosomal RNA is filed under the name uncultured bacterium. RNAcentral describes it as "partial 16S ribosomal RNA". It matches the Rfam family "Bacterial small subunit ribosomal RNA", at positions 509 to 807 of the family's 1533-position model. The record is from RNAcentral.